CCCCUAGAUGUUCUGGGCCGCACGCGCGCUACACUGAACAGUUCAACAAGUCUUAACCUUGGCCGUUAGGUCUGGGUAAUCUUUGAACGCUGUUCGUGAUUGGGAUAGACCUUUGCAAUUAUGGGUCUUCAACGAGGAAUUCCUAGUAAACGCAAGUCAUCAGCUUGCAUUGAUUACGUCCCUGCCCUUUGUACACACCGCCCGUCGCACCUACCGAUUGAAUGGUCCGGUGAAAUCUCGGGACGGCGGCUUGGUCGCUUGCGUCCGACUGCUGAAACUUGAUUAAACCAUAUCAUUUAGAGGAAGGUGAAGUCGUAACA
This 320-nucleotide ribosomal RNA is filed under the name uncultured eukaryote. Its description in RNAcentral is "partial 18S ribosomal RNA". It matches the Rfam family "Eukaryotic small subunit ribosomal RNA", at positions 1470 to 1796 of the family's 1831-position model. The record is from RNAcentral.